GUAGAAGAUUCCCAUGUACCUACUUCACCUGUAGGUGAAGGCUGAGUCGUUGACCAGCAACCACUUUAGAUCUUUGAGGCUGCUUGUCCCUAGCAGGUAGAGAAGCCCACAAAAUGGACACCAGGAGGAUGGACAACCUUACCCUCUAUAUUGAUCCCAAAUUCAGGUGUGUUGGAGUCCUCCUCCACACUUCAUUCCUUUUUUCCAAACUGAUCCUACAAAGCAAGCCCCAAAAACUUAUUUAAAGAACUUGGUUAAGCAUUUAAUCUUCUAUUUCAGCUGGCUUUUCUCUCAUGGCUAGAAGCCAAUCUCAGCUCUGUUUCAAAACCAAUCCAGAGCAUCAGGAUGCAAACAUGAUUUGUUGAGAUAAGCUGCACAGUCUUAUAGUCUCAUCGCACCCAUCAGACUGGGCUCAGAGCACAGGUAGAAGGUUGCUCUGCCAAAACAGUCUUUCAUUCUACAUGGAUUUAUAAGAAAAAGGCACAGAGAGCAAGAAAAAGGCUGUCUGUCUUUACGCCACAUUUAAAAAGGGUUAUAAAUGAUAAAAUAGUAUGUAAAAGUUAUCUUUUUUUUUAGUUCAUCAGGUUCUGUUGAGUGUUCUGAUGGUUUCUGUGCAGUGUCUGGCUUCUCCUGAGCCAACAGAGUUCUGUGGUGGACAGAAGAGCUAUAAAGAGUGGACAGAGUCAGUCAAAGCCUGUCUCUGGGGCAGGACAGUUAGAAACAGACCUGAUGUUGACUUUAUAUUCGUUGGCAGAAGGCAGGAGCUACUCCACUGAAGUUAAUCAAGUUAACUCGGUCUAAUGCCAAGGCAAAACAGAUCUGAAUCUAGACCACAGUUCAGGACUCAUGUACAAUUUGCAUAAUGGAAUUAAAAUAAAGCUUCCAACUCUAGCUACAGAAAUACUCUGCUGAGAAUUAAAGACCGUGCUUGUUGUAUGGGAUUAAAUAAAAGGACACCCAAGGCAUCAGCUGUCACAGAAAACAAUCCAGUUUUGUCAGUUCCUGAGCCACACUCAGCUGUUUCAAUUGGUAGGGAUUUUUCUUCACCCCUUCUUUCUUUUCUUUUCUAUUCUAUUUGCAUAUGAACUCAGAUCCUUCAAGUCUUCAUGCUGCCUUCCAGGUUCAAGCUAGCCCCGCAGUAUACAAAGUUCAAGAUAAUGUCAACAUUUUGUCAGGACUUGGGAGGCAAGUGAGAAAGGAAUGUCACAGGGGAGCAUUAAAAGAAAUAUCAAAUAAGGUUCCUCUGAAAUCUUUCCCCCGAACCAGGAAAAGGUCUGCAAACCUUGGCACAGUUCAUCCUCCACCUGAACUCGCUCGUGUUUUGCUCAUAGAAGAUCUUCAGCCAUUCUGUAUGAUCUGCAAAGCUCACACCACAUCUUUCCGCUGGCUUCAGAGGACUUGGGGUUAGAGAUGGCACACUGCUAUUUAAAUAUUCUUGUUUAAUACAAGUUUAAUAUUCUGAUCUGCUCACGUGGUUUCUGCAUCCUUUUCUAGGUUGGUGCUGCUUCGGGGCACACUUGCAGAACUGUCUCUUGAACUGCCUUUGAAUCUGUGGCAUUUUGUAAUUCCUGCACCCUUCUGGGGCCAUCCCCUCUCUGACCACAUCUCGUGGUGGCAUUCGGUACCGACGGGCAGCGAUGCUGCUUUGCAAGGGAGCCAAAGGCAGCAUUUGCAAGAAUAGAGUACAACAAACUUGGUCCUAAUUCAGAACGGAUUUGCAAAGACUCCAGGGAGGCAGGGCAGGGCUGGAAAUCAGCUCAGCAUCUGGCAGGGGCCAGGAACAAAAGAAAAAGUCAUGGAAGAGCUGACCCAGAUGAUCAUAAGUAAUUAAGGAGUCUUAUAAAUCUGGUUUCCUUUCGGGCAGACCUCUCUAUUCAGCACAGAUCUGACAGAGGUAGACUCUAUUGCACAAUUACACUUUCUCCUCAACAAGGGAUGACUUGAGAGAGCAAAUGGGGGGCACGUAACAAAGUCAGUAAAAUUUUCUCUUCUUCUUUCACCCUCAUUGGCACUUCGCCCUUCUCUUUUUUCACCUGAAAAAAAAGGGGUACAUUAGGACAACCUCAACAUGAGAACCUGGAAUUCAGACCCAUUUUUCCUGGGUCCCACAAAGUAACUUCUCCCUGUGACCGUAGCAAUUGUUUCCCUGGAACAUUAACUAAGGAAUUUGAUGGUGUUUGGUUGUCUACCUCAGACUGAGGGUUAAUGAGUCUGGGCUAGCAAUGUGGUGUGCAAUAGCACAGAUGUGCUGGCAUGAAUUUGGGCUUAAAAUCCUGACCCCGUGAAAAUCGACACCAAAAUGUCUGUUGAUUUCCAUGGAGUGGGUUUCACCCAUAAAUUCUGAACGAGAAAAAAAAAAAAAA
Molecule: long non-coding RNA, 2363 nt
Organism: Calidris pugnax (ruff)
Lineage: Eukaryota; Metazoa; Chordata; Aves; Charadriiformes; Scolopacidae
Exons: 2
Source: RefSeq, a predicted model, not a curated record